Molecule: ribosomal RNA, 449 nt
Filed under: uncultured bacterium
Lineage: Bacteria
Description: bacterial SSU rRNA
Rfam family: Bacterial small subunit ribosomal RNA
Source: RNAcentral
AACGAACGCUGGCGGCAGGCCUAAUACAUGCAAGUCGAGCGCACCUUCGGGUGAGCGGCGAACGGGUGAGUAACAUGUGGGAACGUGCCCUUCUCUAAGGAAUAGCCUCGGGAAACUGGGAGUAAUGCCUUAUAUACCCUUCGGGGGAAAGAUUUAUCGGAGAAGGAUCGGCCCGCACCUGAUUAGAUAGUUGGUGGGGUAACGGCCUACCAAGUCUACGAUCAGUAGCUGGUUUGAGAGGAUGAUCAGCCACACUGGGACUGAGACACGGCCCAGACUCCUACGGGAGGCAGCAGUAGGGAAUCUUGGACAAUGGGCGAAAGCCUGAUCCAGCCAUGCCGCGUGUGUGAUGACGGCCUUAGGGUUGUAAAGCACUUUCGCCAGGGAAGAUAAUGACGGUACCUGGUAAAGAAGUCCCGGCUAACUCCGUGCCAGCCGCCGCGGUAAUU